UACAGAGGUCCCAAGCGUUGUUCGGAUUCACUGGGCGUAAAGGGUGCGUAGGUGGUGAGGUAAGUCGGAUGUGAAAUCUCCGAGCUCAACUCGGAAAUGGCAUUGGAAACUACCUUGCUAGAGGAUUGGAGGGGAGACUGGAAUGCUUGGUGUAGCAGUGAAAUGCGUAGAUAUCAAGCGGAACACCAGUGGCGAAGGCGAGUCUCUGGACAAUUCCUGACACUGAGGCACGAAAGCCAGGGGAGCAAACGGGAUUAGAAACCCUCGUAGUCC
RNAcentral lists this ribosomal RNA (273 nucleotides) under uncultured bacterium. RNAcentral's name for it is "partial 16S ribosomal RNA". It matches the Rfam family "Bacterial small subunit ribosomal RNA", at positions 524 to 796 of the family's 1533-position model. The record is from RNAcentral.